UGGUUCAGUGGUAGAACUCCUGCCUUCCAUGCAGGAGACCCGGGUUCAAUUCCUGG
This 56-nucleotide transfer RNA is filed under the name Loxodonta africana (African savanna elephant). It matches the Rfam family "tRNA", at positions 8 to 63 of the family's 71-position model. From Rfam's summary of the family: Transfer RNA (tRNA) molecules are approximately 80 nucleotides in length. Their secondary structure includes four short double-helical elements and three loops (D, anti-codon, and T loops). Lineage: Eukaryota; Metazoa; Chordata; Mammalia; Proboscidea; Elephantidae. The record is from Rfam by way of RNAcentral.